RNAcentral lists this ribosomal RNA (253 nucleotides) under uncultured bacterium. RNAcentral describes it as "partial 16S ribosomal RNA". It matches the Rfam family "Bacterial small subunit ribosomal RNA", at positions 524 to 776 of the family's 1533-position model. The record is from RNAcentral.
UACGUAGGGUGCAAGCGUUACUCGGAAUUACUGGGCGUAAAGCGUGCGCAGGCGGCUUUGCAAGUCAGAUGCGAAAUCCCCGGGCUUAACCUGGGAACUGCAUUUGUGACUGCAUGGCUGGAGUGCGGCAGAGGGGGAUGGAAUUCCGCGUGUAGCAGUGAAAUGCGUAGAUAUGCGGAGGAACACCGAUGGCGAAGGCAAUCCCCUGGGCCUGCACUGACGCUCAUGCACGAAAGCGUGGGGAGCAAACAGG